RNAcentral lists this unclassified non-coding RNA (149 nucleotides) under Chytridiomycota sp. Its description in RNAcentral is "partial contains small subunit ribosomal RNA, internal transcribed spacer 1, and 5.8S ribosomal RNA". The stretch from base 1 to 47 matches the Rfam family "Eukaryotic small subunit ribosomal RNA", at positions 1785 to 1831 of the family's 1831-position model. The record is from RNAcentral. Lineage: Eukaryota; Fungi; Chytridiomycota.
AAAGUCGUAACAAGGUUUCCGUAGGUGAACCUGCGGAAGGAUCAUCACUGAAGAAGUGUUUUUAUUUUUUUGUGGAGAUAUGUUUUCUUAGUUUGACCAGCAACAAAACCAAUGAGAAACAACUUUUAACAAUGGAUCUCUUGGCUCUC